GAUGAACGCUGGCGGCGUGCUUAACACAUGCAAGUCGAACGAUGAAGCCCAGCUUGCUGGGUGGAUUAGUGGCGAACGGGUGAGUAACACGUGAGUAACCUGCCCUUAACUCUGGGAUAAGCCUGUGAAACUGGGUCUAAUACCGGAUAGGAGCGUCCACCGCAUGGUGGGUGUUGGAAAGAUUUAUCGGUUUUGGAUGGACUCGCGGCAUAUCAGCUUGUUGGUGAGGUAAGGGCUCACCAAGGCGAAGCCGGGUAGCCGGCCUGAGAGGGUGACCGGCCACACUGGGACUGAGACACGGCACAGACUCCUACGGGAGGCAGCAGUGGGGAAUAGUGCAAAAUGGGCGCAAGCCUGAUGCAGCGGCGGCGCGUGAGGGAUGACGGCCUUCGGGUUGUAAACCUCUUUCAGUAGGGAAGAAGCGAAAGUGACGGUACCUGCAGAAGAAGCACCGGCUAACUACGUG
Molecule: ribosomal RNA, 466 nt
Filed under: uncultured bacterium
Lineage: Bacteria
Description: partial 16S ribosomal RNA
Rfam family: Bacterial small subunit ribosomal RNA
Source: RNAcentral